GGAGGAGAGAAUUGAGUUCAUAGAGUUUGGGAGGACUUUAGCAAUCAUUGCUGAAAGUCAGUGUUUGUAUUGGUGAAUUGGAUUCAUAGGGUUUGGGAGGACUUUAGCAAUUGUUGCUAAAAGUUAGUAUUUGUAUUGGUGAAUUGGGUUCAUAGGGUUUGGGAGGACUUUUGUAAUCGUUGCUGAAAAUCUCUGUUUGUAUUGGUGAAUUGGAAUUUUUGCAAUAAAAUAACAGCUGGUAUUCUUGACUAUUUUGUGAAAUUUGAAAAACUUUUGUAGUUGAAAUUUAGAGGUGUCUAGAGGGUUGAGUAUGUUGAGUGCAUGCAAAAGUUUGUGUUAAU
Molecule: long non-coding RNA, 341 nt
Filed under: Physcomitrium patens
Lineage: Eukaryota; Viridiplantae; Streptophyta; Bryopsida; Funariales; Funariaceae
Description: long non-coding RNA (PPAT_LNC008213)
Source: RNAcentral